GACGAACGCUGGCGGCGUGCUUAACACAUGCAAGUCGAACGGAACUCUUUGGAUCGAGACUUCGGUCAAGUGAAUCUGAGUUUAGUGGCGGACGGGUGAGUAACGCGUGAGGAACCUGCCUUUCAGAGGGGGACAACAGUUGGAAACGACUGCUAAUACCGCAUAACGCAUAUUGAUCGCAUGGUCGAUAUGCCAAAGAUUUAUCGCUGAAAGAUGGCCUCGCGUCUGAUUAGCUAGUUGGUGAGGUAACGGCCCACCAAGGCGACGAUCAGUAGCCGGACUGAGAGGUUGACCGGCCACAUUGGGACUGAGAUACGGCCCAG
This 323-nucleotide ribosomal RNA is filed under the name uncultured bacterium. RNAcentral describes it as "bacterial SSU rRNA". It matches the Rfam family "Bacterial small subunit ribosomal RNA", at positions 28 to 334 of the family's 1533-position model. The record is from RNAcentral.